AUUGAACGCUGGCGGCGUGCUUAACACAUGCAAGUCGAUCGGUAACAGGUGUAGCAAUACAUGCUGACGAGAGGCGGACGGGUGAGUAAUGCUUGGGAAUCUGCCUAUUAGUGGGGGACAACCCGGGGAAACUCGGGCUAAUACCGCAUACGCUCUACGGAGGAAAGCCGGGGACCGCAAGGCCUGGCGCUAAUAGAUGAGCCCAAGUCGGAUUAGCUAGUUGGUAGGGAACGGCCUACCAAGGCGACAAUCCGUAGCUGGUCUGAGAGGACGACCAGCCACACCGGAACUGAGACACGGUCCGGACUCCUACGGGAGGCAGCAGUGGGGAAUAUUGGACAAUGGGGGCAACCCUGAUCCAGCGACGCCGCGUGGGUGAAGAAGGCCU
RNAcentral lists this ribosomal RNA (388 nucleotides) under uncultured bacterium. Its description in RNAcentral is "bacterial SSU rRNA". It matches the Rfam family "Bacterial small subunit ribosomal RNA", at positions 29 to 417 of the family's 1533-position model. The record is from RNAcentral.